This 264-nucleotide long non-coding RNA is filed under the name Elaeis guineensis (African oil palm). Its description in RNAcentral is "long non-coding RNA (EGUI_LNC060921)". Lineage: Eukaryota; Viridiplantae; Streptophyta; Magnoliopsida; Arecales; Arecaceae. The record is from RNAcentral.
GUUAGAUUAAAGAUGGACUUAAUUAGAGAAUUGACUAAAUCUAAUCAAUUGUUGUCUUAGAUUAGGUCAAGAAUUCUCUAGAUCAAUUACAAUAGUUGUAGUUGGUCAAGUCCAUGUCUUUAACGAGAACCAAAUGGACUUGAUUCUUGGCUAAGCAGUCUAGCACGAACUGUUAGGUUGAUCUAAUCGAAACUAAUUAAACCAGUUGGUGUCUAAGGUAAAUCAGACUGGUGGUUUUUAAUUGACAGCCCGCUUACCUGGCCA